RNAcentral lists this ribosomal RNA (460 nucleotides) under uncultured bacterium. RNAcentral's name for it is "partial 16S ribosomal RNA". It matches the Rfam family "Bacterial small subunit ribosomal RNA", at positions 338 to 795 of the family's 1533-position model. The record is from RNAcentral.
CCUACGGGGGGCAGCAGUGAGGAAUAUUGGUCAAUGGACGAGAGUCUGAACCAGCCAAGUAGCGUGAAGGAUGAAUGCCCUAUGGGUUGUAAACUUCUUUUAUAAAGGAAUAAAGCGAGGCACGUGUGCAUUUUUGCAUGUACUUUAUGAAUAAGGAUCGGCUAACUCCGUGCCAGCAGCCGCGGUAAUACGGAGGAUCCGAGCGUUAUCCGGAUUUAUUGGGUUUAAAGGGAGCGUAGAUGGGUUGUUAAGUCAGUUGUGAAAGUUUGCGGCUCAACCAUAAAAUUGCAAUUGAUACUGGCAGACUUGAGUGCAGUUGAGGUAGGCGGAAUUCGUGGUGUAGCGGUGAAAUGCAUAGAUAUCACGAAGAACCCCGAUUGCGAAGGCAGCUUACUAAACUGUAACUGACAUUGAUGCUCGAAAGUGUGGGUAUCAAACAGGAUUAGAUACCCUGGUAGUC